This 518-nucleotide long non-coding RNA is filed under the name Dermacentor andersoni. Its description in RNAcentral is "uncharacterized LOC126527246". Lineage: Eukaryota; Metazoa; Arthropoda; Arachnida; Ixodida; Ixodidae. The record is from RNAcentral.
UUAGACGUGCAGAUGCGAUUAAAUCUUGCGCCCGUGUUGUACUCCGAACCGAGGCUGCGUUGAACCUGUCUAAAUUGAGAAGCCGGACCUUCAGUCGCGUGUCAGCGUCGCUCACAGCGAGAGUGCGUGCUGCUUUUGUUUCUCUUCGCUCUCCAGCGAAUCGCGUCUGGCCAGCUCUAUUGGCGGAUGGCCUUGACCUUCGAAGAGAUAUGAAGGGAAAAAGAUGAGAAGAAUGAGGAACCGGUAACUUGCAAGGUGGCUCUCCUUAGCUGCGGCUGCAAGCCGUGCAUCGCCGUUGCGAUCGGUAUCUCUCCGCAUUACUCGGCAUGUGGUGCUGAUAAACAGCUCGUCGGACGAACAGCCAGCCUGGCAUGCGGCGUCCUGAUGAUGGCCGUAGAGCUAUAGCUGGGCGGUGUUCGACGCGACGCAAACCAAACUCUUUCUAUAUUUGCGGUGAAGAAUGCGACUUCGUGGUUGCUCGGGCAGCGGUAAUAUAAUAAACGGAAGAACUGUCGGAU